GGAUUUAGCUCAGUGGUAGAGCGCUUGCCUAGCAAGCGCAAGGCCCUGGGUUCGGUCCCCAGAUCCG
Molecule: non-coding RNA, 67 nt
Organism: Rattus norvegicus (Norway rat)
Lineage: Eukaryota; Metazoa; Chordata; Mammalia; Rodentia; Muridae
Source: Rfam